UACGUAGGGGGCAAGCGUUGUCCGGAAUCAUUGGGCGUAAAGCGCGUGUAGGCGGUUCGGUAAGUCGGCUGUGAAAGUCCAGGGCUCAACCCUGGGAUGCCGGUCGAUACUGCCGGACUAGAGUUCGGAAGAGGCGAGUGGAAUUCCCGGUGUAGCGGUGAAAUGCGCAGAUAUCGGGAGGAACACCAAUGGCGAAGGCAGCUCGCUGGGACGUUACUGACGCUGAGACGCGAAAGCGUGGGGAGCAAACAGGG
RNAcentral lists this ribosomal RNA (254 nucleotides) under uncultured bacterium. RNAcentral's name for it is "partial 16S ribosomal RNA". It matches the Rfam family "Bacterial small subunit ribosomal RNA", at positions 524 to 777 of the family's 1533-position model. The record is from RNAcentral.